RNAcentral lists this ribosomal RNA (531 nucleotides) under Bifidobacterium longum subsp. infantis. Its description in RNAcentral is "bacterial SSU rRNA". It matches the Rfam family "Bacterial small subunit ribosomal RNA", at positions 157 to 703 of the family's 1533-position model. Lineage: Bacteria; Bacillati; Actinomycetota; Actinomycetes; Bifidobacteriales; Bifidobacteriaceae. RNAcentral also lists the same sequence under 1 other name. The record is from RNAcentral.
CGGGUGGUAAUGCCGGAUGCUCCAGUUGAUCGCAUGGUCUUCUGGGAAAGCUUUCGCGGUAUGGGAUGGGGUCGCGUCCUAUCAGCUUGACGGCGGGGUAACGGCCCACCGUGGCUUCGACGGGUAGCCGGCCUGAGAGGGCGACCGGCCACAUUGGGACUGAGAUACGGCCCAGACUCCUACGGGAGGCAGCAGUGGGGAAUAUUGCACAAUGGGCGCAAGCCUGAUGCAGCGACGCCGCGUGAGGGAUGGAGGCCUUCGGGUUGUAAACCUCUUUUAUCGGGGAGCAAGCGAGAGUGAGUUUACCCGUUGAAUAAGCACCGGCUAACUACGUGCCAGCAGCCGCGGUAAUACGUAGGGUGCAAGCGUUAUCCGGAAUUAUUGGGCGUAAAGGGCUCGUAGGCGGUUCGUCGCGUCCGGUGUGAAAGUCCAUCGCUUAACGGUGGAUCCGCGCCGGGUACGGGCGGGCUUGAGUGCGGUAGGGGAGACUGGAAUUCCCGGUGUAACGGUGGAAUGUGUAGAUAUCGGAAA